RNAcentral lists this non-coding RNA (26 nucleotides) under Mus musculus (house mouse). Lineage: Eukaryota; Metazoa; Chordata; Mammalia; Rodentia; Muridae. The record is from RNAcentral.
UGGCCAUUUGGGUGUGUCGGCUGCUU